Molecule: ribosomal RNA, 451 nt
Filed under: uncultured bacterium
Lineage: Bacteria
Description: partial 16S ribosomal RNA
Rfam family: Bacterial small subunit ribosomal RNA
Source: RNAcentral
AACGAACGCUGGCGGCAGGCUUAACACACGCAAGUCGAACGCGUGUAGCAAUACACGAGUGGCGCACGGGUGAGUAACGCGUGGAUAUCAACCUUUUGGUUCGGAAUAACCCCGGGAAACUGGGGCUAAUACCGGAUGGUUCCUUCGGGAUAAAGAUCUAUCGCCAAAAGAUGAGUCCGCGUCCGAUUAGCUAGUUGGUGAGGUAAUGGCUCACCAAGGCGACGAUCGGUAGCUGGUCUGAGAGGACGAUCAGCCACACUGGGACUGAGACACGGCCCAGACUCCUACGGGAGGCAGCAGUGGGGAAUAUUGGACAAUGGGGGCAACCCUGAUCCAGCCAUGCCGCGUGAGUGAUGAAGGCCUUCGGGUUGUAAAGCUCUUUUGGCGGGGACGAUGAUGACGGUACCCGCAGAAUAGGCCCCGGCUAACUUCGUGCCAGCCGCCGCCGUAA